Molecule: transfer RNA, 91 nt
Filed under: Mesocricetus auratus (golden hamster)
Lineage: Eukaryota; Metazoa; Chordata; Mammalia; Rodentia; Cricetidae
Rfam family: tRNA
About the family: Transfer RNA (tRNA) molecules are approximately 80 nucleotides in length. Their secondary structure includes four short double-helical elements and three loops (D, anti-codon, and T loops).
Source: Rfam by way of RNAcentral
CCUUCAAUAGCUCAGCUGGUAGAGUGGAGGACUGUAGUUGACUCUACUAGGAAACAUCCUUAGGUCGCUGGUUCUAUUCCAGCUCAAAGGA